RNAcentral lists this ribosomal RNA (402 nucleotides) under uncultured bacterium. Its description in RNAcentral is "bacterial SSU rRNA". It matches the Rfam family "Bacterial small subunit ribosomal RNA", at positions 355 to 774 of the family's 1533-position model. The record is from RNAcentral.
UGGGGAAUAUUGCACAAUGGGGGAAACCCUGAUGCAGCGACGCCGCGUGAGUGAAGAAGUACUUCGGUAUGUAAAGCUCUAUCAGCAGGGAAGAAAGUGACGGUACCUGAGUAAGAAGCCCCGGCUAACUACGUGCCAGCAGCCGCGGUAAUACGUAGGGGGCAAGCGUUAUCCGGAUUUACUGGGUGUAAAGGGAGUGUAGACGGCGAUGCAAGUCUGGAGUGAAAGCCCGGUGCUCAACACCGGGACUGCUUUGGAAACUGUAAAGCUAGAGUGCCGGAGAGGUAAGCGGAAUUCCUAGUGUAGCGGUGAAAUGCGUAGAUAUUAGGAAGAACACCAGUGGCGAAGGCGGCUUACUGGACGGUAACUGACGUUGAGGCUCGAAAGCGUGGGGAGCAAACA